Long non-coding RNA from Anthonomus grandis grandis, 791 nucleotides. RefSeq lists it as uncharacterized. NCBI's taxonomy places the organism in Eukaryota, Metazoa, Arthropoda, Insecta, Coleoptera, Curculionidae. The transcript is spliced from 2 exons. The record is from RefSeq and is a predicted model, not a curated record.
AUUAGAUACAAAUAACUGUAAAGAGCGACGACAAUAAUAUAUUAUUUAUCAAAUGAAAGAUUAGGGCGAAAAGGAGGUUUUUCAGAUAAAAGGAAACGAUGAUGUUUGGCGAGACGUCAGCAGCUGAGGCUACAAUGCGCUUUCUGAAACACUUUCAUUGCCACUAACCACCCUCUCCAGUCUCCCUAAGCAGGCGAUUCGUUCUUCUACUGAAGGAUAAGAACUUAUGGUUUCUCUGAUGAUCCAAUCCUAUUUUCGGCAUUCUCAUAUAAAAUGAUAUGCGGUUUCCUGCGCCACGCCACAAGUAGGGCACAGCAGACUAGGCACCACGACUAAGAUACGCCUGUUGAAUUUACAGUGCUCUGUUACGUUACGACUCCAGGUUUGCUAUAAUGUCUCUAUGCUAGGACAGCAGCCAGGCUAUCCUAGCUUCAGUUGGAUUUGAUAGAAGUUUUUUGGCCUGUCAGCAACUGCUGUUCCUACUCCAAUAGUCUUUUACCAUGCCUACUUGUCUAGGAUAUGUGAAAUGUGUUUCUUACAUAAUAGGUAGGGCUAGGUUAUAAUUUAUAAUUAUAAACGGAAAUACUCAAACAAAUGUUAACUUCUUUUAAAAUAAUUUUAAUCCAAAUUUAAUGUUAAUUAAAAUAAUUUUUUUAAUUGUAAGUAGAAUAAGUAAAUAUUACAUAAUUAUGAUACCUUAUACAGGUAUCAUAAUGAUCCUUAUCGCUGGUCUGUUAUAAGCUGUUAAAAACAAGAUAUGUAAUGUCAAUAAAAAUACUUAUAGAAAGUAA